AUGAUGAUAUUUUCAGUGAUCAUUUCUACAAUUCAUUUCUAGAGAAGUAUUUCUGAUCAUGUAGAGUACUGGAAACCAUGAGGAAACAUAACAUGAUCACAUGAGUGUAAAGUUGGCUGUUAGUGCUACUGUGUUGCAGCUGCCAUCUGCCAUUGAUGGUCAUUCUUCUUGACCUUUGGAGGAGCCAGAGGGUGAGGCUAUCAUCUGAGUGGC
Molecule: small nucleolar RNA, 213 nt
Filed under: Castor canadensis (American beaver)
Lineage: Eukaryota; Metazoa; Chordata; Mammalia; Rodentia; Castoridae
Description: Small nucleolar RNA U3 (ENSCCNG00000005117.1)
Rfam family: Small nucleolar RNA U3
About the family: Small nucleolar RNAs (snoRNAs) are involved in the processing and modification of rRNA in the nucleolus. There are two main classes of snoRNAs: the box C/D class, and the box H/ACA class. U3 snoRNA is a member of the box C/D class.
Source: Rfam by way of RNAcentral